CAACAUGCUGCUGCUUCUGCUGCCCCUGUUGUCUGGAGGCUUGACUCUAUGUGUUGGACAGACUGCGUCAUUAACACAGACCACGGUACAAUCCCUCCUCACACAGCCAGUCCAUGCCACUGCUGUCCUUCCCACAGCUGAUGAUGCACACAACAAUGUCGCGGUUCUUCUAACAGCUGUUCAGUCGACCCGCGCGCUCAACGAAACAACACUUGCUCCCGUCUUGAACAAGGUGAUCGCCUGACUGAAAUGAUGCAAUGGCUAGAGUUAGAUUUUAGUUUGGCUAAUCAAACGGCAUAUUGAUUAAUUGUUUUACAGCUCCACGACAUCAUCCAGGGGAUUCAACCGGACGCAAUGUUCUCCCUCAGUCUGAAAAACUACACCAGAGUCUGAGUGGCCGACUUUGGUAACACAAGACACUGAUAACGCGUUUGUGUGUACUUGUGUCUUUGUGCGAGUGAAGAAGAGACAAAGAGACACAAGCUGCCCAAAUGUCUGCCAAACAGUGGUUUGGAAAUUUUAUUUUAUUUAAUAUCACUAUACCCAUAAAUACGCACCAUCACUGAAGGAUCAUUAAAAUUU
This is a long non-coding RNA of Cynoglossus semilaevis (tongue sole), 582 nucleotides long. RefSeq lists it as uncharacterized. Lineage: Eukaryota; Metazoa; Chordata; Actinopteri; Pleuronectiformes; Cynoglossidae. The transcript is spliced from 3 exons. The record is from RefSeq and is a predicted model, not a curated record.